CGCCUGUUUAACAAAAACAUCGUUUACUGCUUAAAUGGUAAAUAACGUCUGCCCACUGAAUUUUUAACGGCCGCAGUAUCCUGACUGUGCAAAGGUAGCAUAAUCAUUUGUCUCUUAAUUAGAGGCUAGUAUGAAUGGCACGACGAGGUAGACCCUGUGUCUUCCUAUAAAUCUAACUUAAUAUUUAAGUCAAAAAGCUUAAAUAAUCCCGCAGGACGAGAAGACCCCGUAGAUCUUAAUAUAACCCUAUUUUGUAUACUAUAGAAGCUCAAGUAAUUAAACAGGUUAAUAUUUAGUUGGGGUGACGUGAAGUAUAAACACUUUCCUUAAACACGACCAUACAAGGCUUAAUGACCCGGUUAACCGAUUAAAAGAUAAAGUUACCUUGGGGAUAACAGCGUAAUCUACUUUUAGAGUCCUAAUCAACAAGUAGGUUUGCGACCUCGAUGUUGGAUUAAGAACCUGUUUGUGGGCAGCCCCGCAAACCAGGGGUCUGUUCGACCUUUAAAUUCUUACAUGAUCUGAGUUCAAACCGGAGCUCC
RNAcentral lists this ribosomal RNA (542 nucleotides) under Callibaetis ferrugineus hageni. RNAcentral describes it as "partial 16S ribosomal RNA". It matches the Rfam family "Bacterial large subunit ribosomal RNA", at positions 1797 to 2627 of the family's 2925-position model. The record is from RNAcentral. Lineage: Eukaryota; Metazoa; Arthropoda; Insecta; Ephemeroptera; Baetidae.